GGAAUCUGGGAGGACCAUCUCCUAAGGCUAAAUACUCUCUAGUGACCGAUAGUGAACCAGUACCGUGAGGGAAAGGUGAAAAGCACCCCGGAAGGAGAGUGAAAUAGAACCUGAAACCGUGUGCUUACAAGUAGUCAGAGCCCGUUAAUGGGUGAUGGCGUGCCUUUUGUAGAAUGAACCGGCGAGUUACGAUUUGAUGCAAGGUUAAGCAGUAAAUGUGGAGCCGUAGCGAAAGCGAGUCUGAAUAGGGCGUUUAGUAUUUGGUCGUAGACCCGAAACCAGGUGAUCUACCCUUGGUCAGGUUGAAGUUCAGGUAACACUGAAUGGAGGACCGAACCGACUUACGUUGAAAAGUGAGCGGAUGAACUGAGGGUAGCGGAGAAAUUCCAAUCGAACCUGGAGAUAGCUGGUUCUCUCCGAAAUAGCUUUAGGGCUAGCCUCAAGUGAUGAUUAUUGGAGGUAGAGCACUGUUUGGACGAGGGGCCCCUCUCGGGUUACCGAAUUCAGACAAACUCCGAAUGCCAAUUAAUUUAACUUGGGAGUCAGAACAUGGGUGAUAAGGUCCGUGUUCGAAAGGGAAACAGCCCAGACCACCAGCUAAGGUCCCAAAAUAUAUGUUAAGUGGAAAAGGAUGUGGCGUUGCCCAGACAACUAGGAUGUUGGCUUAGAAGCAGCCAUCAUUUAAAGAGUGCGUAAUAGCUCACUAGUCGAGUGACACUGCGCCGAAAAUGUACCGGGGCUAAACAUAUUACCGAAGCUGUGGAUUGUCCUUUGGACAAUGGUAGGAGAGCGUUCUAAGGGCGUUGAAGCAUGAUCGUAAGGACAUGUGGAGCGCUUAGAAGUGAGAAUGCCGGUGUGAGUAGCGAAAGACGGGUGAGAAUCCCGUCCACCGAUUGACUAAGGUUUCCAGAGGAAGGCUCGUCCGCUCUGGGUUAGUCGGGUCCUAAGCUGAGGCCGACAGGCGUAGGCGAUGGAUAACAGGUUGAUAUUCCUGUACCACCUAUAAUCGUUUUAAUCGAUGGGGGGACGCAGUAGGAUAGGCGAAGCGUGCGAUUGGAUUGCACGUCUAAGCAGUAAGGCUGAGUAUUAGGCAAAUCCGGUACUCGUUAAGGCUGAGCUGUGAUGGGGAGAAGACAUUGUGUCUUCGAGUCGUUGAUUUCACACUGCCGAGAAAAGCCUCUAGAUAGAAAAUAGGUGCCCGUACCGCAAACCGACACAGGUAGUCAAGAUGAGAAUUCUAAGGUGAGCGAGCGAACUCUCGUUAAGGAACUCGGCAAAAUGACCCCGUAACUUCGGGAGAAGGGGUGCUCUUUAGGGUUAACGCCCAGAAGAGCCGCAGUGAAUAGGCCCAAGCGACUGUUUAUCAAAAACACAGGUCUCUGCUAAACCGUAAGGUGAUGUAUAGGGGCUGACGCCUGCCCGGUGCUGGAAGGUUAAGAGGAGUGGUUAGCUUCUGCGAAGCUACGAAUCGAAGCCCCAGUAAACGGCGGCCGUAACUAUAACGGUCCUAAGGUAGCGAAAUUCCUUGUCGGGUAAGUUCCGACCCGCACGAAAGGCGUAACGAUUUGGGCACUGUCUCAACGAGAGACUCGGUGAAAUCAUAGUACCUGUGAAGAUGCAGGUUACCCGCGACAGGACGGAAAGACCCCGUGGAGCUUUACUGUAGCCUGAUAUUGAAAUUCGGCACAGCUUGUACAGGAUAGGUAGGAGCCUUUGAAACGUGAGCGCUAGCUUACGUGGAGGCGCUGGUGGGAUACUACCCUAGCUGUGUUGGCUUUCUAACCCGCACCACUUAUCGUGGUGGGAGACAGUGUCAGGCGGGCAGUUUGACUGGGGCGGUCGCCUCCUAAAAGGUAACGGAGGCGCUCAAAGGUUCCCUCAGAAUGGUUGGAAAUCAUUCAUAGAGUGUAAAGGCAUAAGGGAGCUUGACUGCGAGACCUACAAGUCGAGCAGGGUCGAAAGACGGACUUAGUGAUCCGGUGGUUCCGCAUGGAAGGGCCAUCGCUCAACGGAUAAAAGCUACCCCGGGGAUAACAGGCUUAUCUCCCCCAAGAGUUCACAUCGACGGGGAGGUUUGGCACCUCGAUGUCGGCUCAUCGCAUCCUGGGGCUGUAGUCGGUCCCAAGGGUUGGGCUGUUCGCCCAUUAAAGCGGUACGCGAGCUGGGUUCAGAACGUCGUGAGACAGUUCGGUCCCUAUCCGUCGUGGGCGUAGGAAAUUUGAGAGGAGCUGUCCUUAGUACGAGAGGACCGGGAUGGACAUACCUCUGGUGUACCAGUUGUCGUGCCAACGGCAUAGCUGGGUAGCUAUGUGUGGACGGGAUAAGUGCUGAAAGCAUCUAAGCAUGAAGCCCCCCUCAAGAUGAGAUUUCCCAACUUCGGUUAUAAGAUCCCUCAAAGAUGAUGAGGUUAAUAGGUUCGAGGUGGAAGCAUGGUGACAUGUGGAGCUGACGAAUACUAAUCGAUCGAAGACUUAAUCAA
Molecule: ribosomal RNA, 2479 nt
Filed under: Staphylococcus aureus M1520
Lineage: Bacteria; Bacillati; Bacillota; Bacilli; Caryophanales; Staphylococcaceae
Also listed under: 2 other names
Description: bacterial LSU rRNA
Rfam family: Bacterial large subunit ribosomal RNA
Source: RNAcentral